RNAcentral lists this ribosomal RNA (1037 nucleotides) under Escherichia coli. RNAcentral describes it as "bacterial SSU rRNA". It matches the Rfam family "Bacterial small subunit ribosomal RNA", at positions 1 to 1027 of the family's 1533-position model. The record is from RNAcentral. Lineage: Bacteria; Pseudomonadati; Pseudomonadota; Gammaproteobacteria; Enterobacterales; Enterobacteriaceae.
AAAUUGAAGAGUUUGAUCAUGGCUCAGAUUGAACGCUGGCGGCAGGCCUAACACAUGCAAGUCGAACGGUAACAGGAAACAGCUUGCUGUUUCGCUGACGAGUGGCGGACGGGUGAGUAAUGUCUGGGAAACUGCCUGAUGGAGGGGGAUAACUACUGGAAACGGUAGCUAAUACCGCAUAACGUCGCAAGACCAAAGAGGGGGACCCUCGGGCCUCUUGCCAUCGGAUGUGCCCAGAUGGGAUUAGCUUGUUGGUGGGGUAACGGCUCACCAAGGCGACGAUCCCUAGCUGGUCUGAGAGGAUGACCAGCCACACUGGAACUGAGACACGGUCCAGACUCCUACGGGAGGCAGCAGUGGGGAAUAUUGCACAAUGGGCGCAAGCCUGAUGCAGCCAUGCCGCGUGUAUGAAGAAGGCCUUCGGGUUGUAAAGUACUUUCAGCGGGGAGGAAGGGAGUAAAGUUAAUACCUUUGCUCAUUGACGUUACCCGCAGAAGAAGCACCGGCUAACUCCGUGCCAGCAGCCGCGGUAAUACGGAGGGUGCAAGCGUUAAUCGGAAUUACUGGGCGUAAAGCGCACGCAGGCGGUUUGUUAAGUCAGAUGUGAAAUCCCCGGGCUCAACCUGGGAACUGCAUCUGAUACUGGCAAGCUUGAGUCUCGUAGAGGGGGGUAGAAUUCCAGGUGUAGCGGUGAAAUGCGUAGAGAUCUGGAGGAAUACCGGUGGCGAAGGCGGCCCCCUGGACGAAGACUGACGCUCAGGUGCGAAAGCGUGGGGAGCAAACAGGAUUAGAUACCCUGGUAGUCCACGCCGUAAACGAUGUCGACUUGGAGGUUGUGCCCUUGAGGCGUGGCUUCCGGAGCUAACGCGUUAAGUCGACCGCCUGGGGAGUACGGCCGCAAGGUUAAAACUCAAAUGAAUUGACGGGGGCCCGCACAAGCGGUGGAGCAUGUGGUUUAAUUCGAUGCAACGCGAAGAACCUUACCUGGUCUUGACAUCCACGGAAGUUUUCAGAGAUGAGAAUGUGCCUUCGGGAAC